UGGGGAAUAUUGGGCAAUGGGCGCAAGCCUGACCCAGCAACGCCGCGUGAAGGAAGAAGGCUCUCGGGUUGUAAACUUCUUUUGUCAGGGACGAAGCAAGUGACGGUACCUGACGAAUAAGCCACGGCUAACUACGUGCCAGCAGCCGCGGUAAUACGUAGGUGGCAAGCGUUAUCCGGAUUUACUGGGUGUAAAGGGCGUGUAGGCGGGAUGUAAGUCAGAUGUGAAAACUAUGGGCUCAACCCAUAGCCUGCAUUUGAAACUAUCGUUCUUGAGUGCUGGAGAGGCAAUCGGAAUUCCGUGUGUAGCGGUGAAAUGCGUAGAUAUACGGAGGAACACCAGUGGCGAAGGCGGAUUGCUGGACACUAACUGACGCUGAGGCGCGAAAGCGUGGGGAGCAAACAGGAUUAGAUACCC
Molecule: ribosomal RNA, 417 nt
Filed under: uncultured bacterium
Lineage: Bacteria
Description: bacterial SSU rRNA
Rfam family: Bacterial small subunit ribosomal RNA
Source: RNAcentral